Molecule: ribosomal RNA, 468 nt
Filed under: uncultured bacterium
Lineage: Bacteria
Description: partial 16S ribosomal RNA
Rfam family: Bacterial small subunit ribosomal RNA
Source: RNAcentral
GACGAACGCUGGCGGCGUGCUUAACACAUGCCAGUCGAACGGAAAGGCCCUGCUUUUGUGGGGUGCUCGAGUGGCGAACGGGUGAGUAACACGUGAGUAACCUGCCCUUGACUUUGGGAUAACUUCUGGAAACUGGGGCUAAUACCGGAUAGGAGCUCCUGCUGCAUGGUGGGGGUUGGAAAGUUUCGGCGGUUGGGGAUGGACUCGCGGCUUAUCAGCUUGUUGGUGGGGUAGUGGCUUACCAAGGCUUUGACGGGUAGCCGGCCUGAGAGGGUGACCGGCCACAUUGGGACUGAGAUACGGCCCAGACUCCUACGGGAGGCAGCAGUGGGGAAUAUUGCACAAUGGGCGGAAGCCUGAUGCAGCAACGCCGCGUGCGGGAUGACGGCCUUCGGGUUGUAAACCGCCUUCGCCUGUGACGAAGCGUGAGUGACGGUAAUGGGUAAAGAAGCACCGGCUAACUACGUG